Molecule: long non-coding RNA, 238 nt
Organism: Eufriesea mexicana
Lineage: Eukaryota; Metazoa; Arthropoda; Insecta; Hymenoptera; Apidae
Exons: 3
Source: RefSeq, a predicted model, not a curated record
GUGAGGUCGACUGCAACAAUAAUAACUAUACUUGCCAAAUAUCCUCAAUGAACCUAAACAUUCCGACAUUCAAAAUAUUCUAAUCUCAAUAUCCCAAUAAUAUUGCUGCCUCAACGAAUCACACGCUAUGGACACGCGUCCUAAUAUGUAUUUCCAGUUAUUUCCAAUUCCAAAUCAAUCUUGAAGCCGCUCAAAUACCAUCUCGUUCGAAUGAGAAAAAUUAAAAAGAACAGCAGCG